GCCGCUCUGCCUAUCCGUGCCACUCUAUGAUCAUCGCACCGGCUGCGCACGCGCGCGGAAGAGCAUUCGCCGUCAACUGCCCGCUGUGGUCUGCGGGAGGAUGACGGUUUUGUACGAAGCCAGAGAGUCCAGAAGACCCAAGCAGCUCUCGAACUCUCUUCCCCGCGCCCUGGCGUUGGGCCUGAGUGGCCGGGUCGGGUAGUGUGGUCGGAGGAUCGGCCCUGGGCCCACCAUUCUUCUUUCCCACUGCUUUGUGAAAAAGAAACGCCUUAUGGCACUGCCCUGCACUAGGCUUGCCCGGGGGCGAUUGGCGUAACAAGAUACUGCUGGAGAAACCAGAACCGUCAGAAUGCCCUUUCUAGAAGUACAAGGAAAAACAGUGGUACUAUAACGUGAUCCUCCUGCGACCCAAAAAGUGCUAGGGUGUUGAGAGACUGCAUACACCCAGGCGGGAAUUGAGAGGCAUUUCCAACAAGCUGAGUAUGAACCCUGGUUGCGGAUUGAAGCUGCAAGAGCAUGUUGCAGGCGCGGGAGUGGAAGAUAUGUACCUGAGUGUCUUCGCCUUUGUGUAUAUGUACCAUGUGCGGUGCCUGAGGAAGCCAGACGAGGACACUGGAUAUUCAGGAACAGGAGUUACAGAUGUUCCUGAGCUUCCAUGUGGGUGUUGAAAACCAAAUCCUGGUCCUCAGAAGGAGCAGGUGAGUGUUGUGAGCCGUCUCUCUGGCCUGAUUCAUUCUUCUGUGUCUAUGGCUGGAUUUCACUGACUGAUGUUUCCUUCAGAUCUUACGUUCAUGAAAGAAACUGGUCUGUAAUUUUACUUUCUUGUAAAGACAUUGUCAAAUUGGGUAUUAAGGUUAAGUUACCUUCAUAAAAUGACACAAAGCUAAGAAUGUAGCUCAGUGACACCGUGCUUGCCUAGCAUAUGUAAGGCCCUGGGUCUGAUCCUCAGCCACAAAAAAAGCAUGGGGCAAAGGAGGGAAAGAGGAAGGAGAAGGAGAAGGAGGAGAAGGACGAGGAGAAGGAGGAGGAGAAGAGAGGAAAACGAAGGAGCAGCAGCAGCAUUGCUUGGCAUGAUGAUGCAUACGUGUAAUCUCAGUACUCAGGAGGCUGAGGUGGGAUGAUCGGACAUUAAGGCUGUCCUGGACUGUAUAGCAAGACUCUGUCUAAAAUGAACAAAUAAGGGGCUGGAGAGAGAGCUAGGAAGUUAAGAGCCCUUGCUACUCUCCCAGAGGACUGAAGUCGGGUGGCUCACAUCCACAUGUAGACACAUACACCUAUGCAUAAUUAAAAAUAACAAUAAAGAUAAAUCUUUAAAAAAUAAAA
This is a non-coding RNA of Peromyscus maniculatus bairdii (prairie deer mouse), 1323 nucleotides long. The record is from RefSeq and is a predicted model, not a curated record. NCBI's taxonomy places the organism in Eukaryota, Metazoa, Chordata, Mammalia, Rodentia, Cricetidae.